GUAUGGGGAUCUGCCCGAUAGAGGGGGAUAACUACUGGAAACGGUGGCUAAUACCGCAUAAUGUCUACAGACCAAAGCAGGGGCUCUUCGGACCUUGCACUAUCGGAUGAACCCAUAUGGGAUUAGCUAGUAGGUGGGGUAAAGGCUCACCUAGGCGACGAUCUCUAGCUGGUCUGAGAGGAUGAUCAGCCACACUGGGACUGAGACACGGCCCAG
Molecule: ribosomal RNA, 216 nt
Filed under: uncultured bacterium
Lineage: Bacteria
Description: partial 16S ribosomal RNA
Rfam family: Bacterial small subunit ribosomal RNA
Source: RNAcentral